This 400-nucleotide ribosomal RNA is filed under the name Leopardus pardalis (ocelot). RNAcentral describes it as "partial small subunit ribosomal RNA". It matches the Rfam family "Bacterial small subunit ribosomal RNA", at positions 788 to 1317 of the family's 1533-position model. The record is from RNAcentral. Lineage: Eukaryota; Metazoa; Chordata; Mammalia; Carnivora; Felidae.
CACUAUGCUUAGCCCUAAACCCAGAUAGUUAAUCCAAACAAAACUAUCCGCCAGAGAACUACCAGCAACAGCUUAAAACUCAAAGGACUUGGCGGUGCUUUACAUCCCUCUAGAGGAGCCUGUUCUAUAAUCGAUAAACCCCGAUAUACCUCACCAUCUCUUGCUAAUCCAGCCUGUAUACCGCCAUCUUCAGCAAACCCUAAAAAGGAAGAAAAGUAAGCACAAGUAUCUUAACAUAAAAAAGUUAGGUCAAGGUGUAGCCCAUGAGAUGGGAAGUAAUGGGCUACAUUUUCUACAACUAGAACACCCACGAAAAUCCUUAUGAAACUAAGUAUCAAAGGAGGAUUUAGUAGUAAAUCUGAGAAUAGAGAGCUCAAUUGAAUCGGGCCAUGAAGCACGC